This 122-nucleotide ribosomal RNA is filed under the name Periophthalmus magnuspinnatus. Lineage: Eukaryota; Metazoa; Chordata; Actinopteri; Gobiiformes; Gobiidae. The record is from RNAcentral.
AGCAGUGUUUAUACCAAGCACUUUGAGAACACCUGAUUUUGUUUGAUCUCAGACGCUAAGCAGGCCUAAGCUGGGUCAGUACUUGGAUGGGAGACUGCUCGGAAUGCCAGCUGCCACAGGGA